UAAGACGGAGGGCGCAAGCGUUGUUCGGAAUUACUGGGCGUAAAGGGCGGGCAGGCGGUCCGUUAAGUCUUCUGUGAAAAUCCGGGGCUCAACCCCGUGAAAUGCAGGAGAAACUGGCGGACUAGAGACCAGUAGAGGCUAGCGGAAUUCCUGGUGUAGCGGUGGAAUGCGUAGAUAUCAGGAAGAACACCUGUGGCGAAGGCGGCUAGCUGGGCCGGAUCUGACGCUCAUCCGCGAAAGCGUGGGGAGCAAACAGGAUUAGAUACCCUGGUAGUCCACGCCGUAAACGAUGGGCACUAGGUACUGGGUCUAUAGACGGAUUCAGUGCCGCAGCUAACGCAUUAAGUGCCCCGCCUGGGGAGUACGGUCGCAAGGCUG
RNAcentral lists this ribosomal RNA (378 nucleotides) under uncultured Gemmatimonadota bacterium. RNAcentral's name for it is "bacterial SSU rRNA". It matches the Rfam family "Bacterial small subunit ribosomal RNA", at positions 521 to 896 of the family's 1533-position model. Lineage: Bacteria; Pseudomonadati; Gemmatimonadota. The record is from RNAcentral.